AACGAACGCUGGCGGCGUGCCUAACACAUGCAAGUCGAGCGAGAAAAGGGGGGUAACUCCCUGAGUACAGCGGCGCACGGGUGAGUAACACGUAGGUAAUCUACCCUCGAGCCCGGAAUAACCUACCGAAAGGUGGGCUAAUACCGGAUAUGACCACGGGGAGCUUCGGCUUCUGCGGUGAAAGGUGGCCUCUGCUUGCAAGCUACUACUUGAGGAUGAGCCUGCGUGCCAUUAGCUAGUUGGUGAGGUAACGGCCCACCAAGGCGAUGAUGGCUAGCUGGUCUGAGAGGGAUGGCCAGCCACACUGGGACUGAACACGGCCCAGACUCCUACGGGAGGCAGCAGUGGGGGGAUAUUGCGCAAUGGGCGAAAGCCUGACGCAGCGACGCCGCGUGGGUGAUGAAGGCCUUCGGUC
RNAcentral lists this ribosomal RNA (415 nucleotides) under uncultured bacterium. RNAcentral's name for it is "bacterial SSU rRNA". It matches the Rfam family "Bacterial small subunit ribosomal RNA", at positions 29 to 423 of the family's 1533-position model. The record is from RNAcentral.